ACCAAUGAGGCUAAAGAAAUGGCUUAAUUACAACUUUCUGAGGAAAAAUGGCUUGUAACUUUCCAUGAAUGAAAAUUGACUAAAUCCAGCACUUUUUAGCUUUAUCACGCACUUAUUCAAGCUUUCUUGUGUGUGUAUGGCGAGUAGUCACUUAUCAAACUUUUGGCAAUGAUUAAGCAUAUAAUUUGCUAUAUAAUUAAUGAUGA
This 206-nucleotide long non-coding RNA is filed under the name Elaeis guineensis (African oil palm). Its description in RNAcentral is "long non-coding RNA (EGUI_LNC028610)". The record is from RNAcentral. Lineage: Eukaryota; Viridiplantae; Streptophyta; Magnoliopsida; Arecales; Arecaceae.